This 1548-nucleotide ribosomal RNA is filed under the name Enterococcus faecium. RNAcentral describes it as "bacterial SSU rRNA". It matches the Rfam family "Bacterial small subunit ribosomal RNA". RNAcentral also lists the same sequence under 36 other names. The record is from RNAcentral. Lineage: Bacteria; Bacillati; Bacillota; Bacilli; Lactobacillales; Enterococcaceae.
AGAGUUUGAUCCUGGCUCAGGACGAACGCUGGCGGCGUGCCUAAUACAUGCAAGUCGAACGCUUCUUUUUCCACCGGAGCUUGCUCCACCGGAAAAAGAGGAGUGGCGAACGGGUGAGUAACACGUGGGUAACCUGCCCAUCAGAAGGGGAUAACACUUGGAAACAGGUGCUAAUACCGUAUAACAAUCGAAACCGCAUGGUUUUGAUUUGAAAGGCGCUUUCGGGUGUCGCUGAUGGAUGGACCCGCGGUGCAUUAGCUAGUUGGUGAGGUAACGGCUCACCAAGGCCACGAUGCAUAGCCGACCUGAGAGGGUGAUCGGCCACAUUGGGACUGAGACACGGCCCAAACUCCUACGGGAGGCAGCAGUAGGGAAUCUUCGGCAAUGGACGAAAGUCUGACCGAGCAACGCCGCGUGAGUGAAGAAGGUUUUCGGAUCGUAAAACUCUGUUGUUAGAGAAGAACAAGGAUGAGAGUAACUGUUCAUCCCUUGACGGUAUCUAACCAGAAAGCCACGGCUAACUACGUGCCAGCAGCCGCGGUAAUACGUAGGUGGCAAGCGUUGUCCGGAUUUAUUGGGCGUAAAGCGAGCGCAGGCGGUUUCUUAAGUCUGAUGUGAAAGCCCCCGGCUCAACCGGGGAGGGUCAUUGGAAACUGGGAGACUUGAGUGCAGAAGAGGAGAGUGGAAUUCCAUGUGUAGCGGUGAAAUGCGUAGAUAUAUGGAGGAACACCAGUGGCGAAGGCGGCUCUCUGGUCUGUAACUGACGCUGAGGCUCGAAAGCGUGGGGAGCAAACAGGAUUAGAUACCCUGGUAGUCCACGCCGUAAACGAUGAGUGCUAAGUGUUGGAGGGUUUCCGCCCUUCAGUGCUGCAGCUAACGCAUUAAGCACUCCGCCUGGGGAGUACGACCGCAAGGUUGAAACUCAAAGGAAUUGACGGGGGCCCGCACAAGCGGUGGAGCAUGUGGUUUAAUUCGAAGCAACGCGAAGAACCUUACCAGGUCUUGACAUCCUUUGACCACUCUAGAGAUAGAGCUUCCCCUUCGGGGGCAAAGUGACAGGUGGUGCAUGGUUGUCGUCAGCUCGUGUCGUGAGAUGUUGGGUUAAGUCCCGCAACGAGCGCAACCCUUAUUGUUAGUUGCCAUCAUUCAGUUGGGCACUCUAGCAAGACUGCCGGUGACAAACCGGAGGAAGGUGGGGAUGACGUCAAAUCAUCAUGCCCCUUAUGACCUGGGCUACACACGUGCUACAAUGGGAAGUACAACGAGUCGCGAAGUCGCGAGGCUAAGCUAAUCUCUUAAAGCUUCUCUCAGUUCGGAUUGCAGGCUGCAACUCGCCUGCAUGAAGCCGGAAUCGCUAGUAAUCGCGGAUCAGCACGCCGCGGUGAAUACGUUCCCGGGCCUUGUACACACCGCCCGUCACACCACGAGAGUUUGUAACACCCGAAGUCGGUGAGGUAACCUUUUGGAGCCAGCCGCCUAAGGUGGGAUAGAUGAUUGGGGUGAAGUCGUAACAAGGUAGCCGUAUCGGAAGGUGCGGCUGGAUCACCU